AGAGUAAAGGACAGACAGCGCCCCGUAGGAGCUUGCUCCCGCGGUGGGCUACCCUGCUUCGGCAGGGCUUAGAGUCGUCGGGCCUCUCGGAGAAGCCUGGUCCUGACCUCCACCCUUGAAUAAAUUACCUCUGUUGCUUUGGCGGGCCGCCUUGUGCCAGCGGCUUCGGCUGUUGAGUGCCCGCCAGAGGACCACAACUCUUGUUUUUAGUGAUGUCUGAGUACUAUAUAAUAGUUAAAACUUUCAACAACGGAUCUCUUGGUUCU
RNAcentral lists this unclassified non-coding RNA (266 nucleotides) under rhizosphere metagenome. RNAcentral describes it as "partial ribosomal RNA internal transcribed spacer region". The record is from RNAcentral.